This 1407-nucleotide ribosomal RNA is filed under the name Rothia nasimurium. Its description in RNAcentral is "bacterial SSU rRNA". It matches the Rfam family "Bacterial small subunit ribosomal RNA". The record is from RNAcentral. Lineage: Bacteria; Bacillati; Actinomycetota; Actinomycetes; Micrococcales; Micrococcaceae.
UAACACAUGCAAGUCGAACGAUGAAGCCCAGCUUGCUGGGUGGAUUAGUGGCGAACGGGUGAGUAAUACGUGAGUAACCUGCCUUUAACUCUGGGAUAAGCCUUGGAAACGGGGUCUAAUACCGGAUACGACCAGUUCCCGCAUGGGAUGCUGGUGGAAAGGGAUAUGUACUGGUUUUAGAUGGGCUCACGGCCUAUCAGCUUGUUGGUGAGGUAACGGCUCACCAAGGCGACGACGGGUAGCCGGCCUGAGAGGGUGACCGGCCACACUGGGACUGAGACACGGCCCAGACUCCUACGGGAGGCAGCAGUGGGGAAUAUUGCACAAUGGGCGCAAGCCUGAUGCAGCGACGCCGCGUGAGGGAUGACGGCCUUCGGGUUGUAAACCUCUUUCAGCAGGGAAGAAGCGAAAGUGACGGUACCUGCAGAAGAAGCGCCGGCUAACUACGUGCCAGCAGCCGCGGUAAUACGUAGGGCGCGAGCGUUGUCCGGAAUUAUUGGGCGUAAAGAGCUUGUAGGCGGUUUGUCGCGUCUGCUGUGAAAGCCCGGGGCUUAACCCCGGGUUUGCAGUGGGUACGGGCAGACUAGAGUGCAGUAGGGGAGACUGGAAUUCCUGGUGUAGCGGUGAAAUGCGCAGAUAUCAGGAGGAACACCAAUGGCGAAGGCAGGUCUCUGGGCUGUAACUGACGCUGAGAAGCGAAAGCAUGGGGAGCAAACAGGAUUAGAUACCCUGGUAGUCCAUGCCGUAAACGUUGGGCACUAGGUGUGGGGGACAUUCCACGUUUUCCGCGCCGUAGCUAACGCAUUAAGUGCCCCGCCUGGGGAGUACGGUCGCAAGACUAAAACUCAAAGAAAUUGACGGGGGCCCGCACAAGCGGCGGAGCAUGCGGAUUAAUUCGAUGCAACGCGAAGAACCUUACCAAGGCUUGACAUAUACCGGACCGCUCUAGAGAUAGAGUUUCCCUUCGGGGCUGGUAUACAGGUGGUGCAUGGUUGUCGUCAGCUCGUGUCGUGAGAUGUUGGGUUAAGUCCCGCAACGAGCGCAACCCUCGUUCUAUGUUGCCAGCACGUAAUGGUGGGGACUCAUAGGAGACUGCCGGGUCAAUCGGAGAAAGGUGGGGAUGACGUCAAAUCAUCAUGCCCCUUAAGUCUUGGGCUUCACGCAUGCUACAAUGGCCGGUACAAAGGGUUGCGAUACUGUGAGGUUGAGCUAAUCCCAAAAAGCCGGUCUCAGUUCGGAUUGGGGUCUGCAACUCGACCCCAUGAAGUCGGAGUCGCUAGUAAUCGCAGAUCAGCAACGCUGCGGUGAAUACGUUCCCGGGCCUUGUACACACCGCCCGUCAAGUCACGAAAGUUGGUAACACCCGAAGCCGAUGGCCUAACCCGUUGGGAGGGAGUCGUUAGAAGG